CCCAGACUCCUACGGGAGGCAGCAGUGAGGAAUAUUGGUCAAUGGACGCAAGUCUGAACCAGCCAUGCCGCGUGCAGGAUGACGGCUCUAUGAGUUGUAAACUGCGUUUGUACGAGGGAAAACCCCGAUACGUGAAUCGGGUUGAAAGGAUCGUACGAAUAAGGAUCGGCUAACUCCGUGCCAGCAGCCGCGGUAAUACGGAGGAACCGAGCGUUAUCCGGUUUUAUUGGGUUUAAAGGGCGCGCAGGCGGUUUUGUAAGUUAGGGGUGAAAUCUCGGGGCCCAACCCCGGAACUGCUUUUAAUACUGUUUGACUAGAGUAUAGUUGCGGUAGGCGGAAUGUAUGGUGUAGCGGUGAAAUGCUUAGAUAUCAGACAGAACACCGAUGGCGAAGGCGGCUUACUAGACUAUAUCUGACGUUGAGGCACGAAAGCGUGGGUAGCAAACAGGAUUAGAUACCCCUGUA
RNAcentral lists this ribosomal RNA (465 nucleotides) under uncultured bacterium. Its description in RNAcentral is "partial 16S ribosomal RNA". It matches the Rfam family "Bacterial small subunit ribosomal RNA", at positions 330 to 792 of the family's 1533-position model. The record is from RNAcentral.